GUUUGAUCAUGGCUCAGGAUGAACGCUAGCGGCAGGCUUAAUACAUGCAAGUCGAGGGGCAGCGGGGGUAGCAAUACCUGCCGGCGACCGGCAAACGGGUGCGGAACACGUCACGCAACCUUCCCAGAACAGGUGAAUAGCCCUCCGAAAGGAGAUUAAUACACCGUAAGAUAUAGAGACGGCAUCAUUUUUAUAUAAUAGGCAGCAAUGUCGGUUUUGGAUGGGCGUGCGGCUGAUUAGGUAGUUGGCGGGGUAACGGCCCACCAAGCCUCCGAUCAGUAACUGGUGUGAGAGCACGACCAGUCACACGGGCACUGAGACACGGGCCCGACUCCUACGGGAGGCAGCAGUAAGGAAUAUUGGUCAAUGGACGGAAGCUGAACCAGCCAUGCCGCUGAAGGAUGAAGGCCCUCUGGGUUGUAAACUUCUUUUAUCUGGGACGAAAAAAGGGGAUUCAUCCUCACUUGAACGGUUACCAGAGGAAUAAAGCACCCGCCUAAACUCCGUGC
This 509-nucleotide ribosomal RNA is filed under the name uncultured bacterium. Its description in RNAcentral is "bacterial SSU rRNA". It matches the Rfam family "Bacterial small subunit ribosomal RNA", at positions 11 to 508 of the family's 1533-position model. The record is from RNAcentral.